CCUACGGGUGGCAGCAGUGAGGAAUCUUCCACAAUGGACGAAAGUCUGAUGGAGCGACACCGCGUGAAGGAUGAAGGCCUAACGGUUGUAAACUUCUUUUCUGAAGGAGCAUAAUGAGAGUACUUCAGGAAUAAGGGACGGCUAAAUACGUGCCAGCAGCCGCGGUAAUACGUAUGUCUCAAGCGUUACCCGGAAUCACUGGGUGUAAAGGGUUCGUAGGCGGUUUAAUAAGUUGGAUAUGAAAGACCGGGGCUCAACCCCGUGUUGGUGUUCAAAACUGUUAAACUAGAAUCAGGGAGAGGUAAGUGGAAUUCUGUGUGUAGGGGUGCAAUCCGUAGAUACACAGAGGAACACCAAAAGCGAAGGCAACUUACUGGAACUGUAUUGACGCUCAUGAACGAAAGCGUGGGUAGCGAAAAGGAUUAGAUACCCUAGUAGUC
Molecule: ribosomal RNA, 440 nt
Filed under: uncultured bacterium
Lineage: Bacteria
Description: bacterial SSU rRNA
Rfam family: Bacterial small subunit ribosomal RNA
Source: RNAcentral